RNAcentral lists this long non-coding RNA (1153 nucleotides) under Sus scrofa (pig). RNAcentral describes it as "lncRNA (ENSSSCG00035061748.1)". The record is from RNAcentral. Lineage: Eukaryota; Metazoa; Chordata; Mammalia; Artiodactyla; Suidae.
GUCUUGGUGUUGAUGUUGCAUCCUGUGCCUGUUUCGGAAGCAGGCAAGGGAAGAUGUGAUCUGUUUCUCUUCUGCAGAAAAAGAGGCCCUUCCUCCCCUUCCCGCGAAGGUGAGUGUGCGAUCCUGGCUGCUCUUUUUCGCUGUAAAGACUAGGGUGUCUCGAGCGUGCGUAGGAAGGUUGGAACCUGUGUCGACAAGCAGGGCUCAUUGUUGCUUACUCCUUUGAAAACGACAGUGCUGAACUUUGAAUGUUGGUUUGGGAGGGUGAUUUGGGGGUUUGUUGUUGCUCUUGGAUCCUUUAAGAAACAUUCAUUGUUUUUCUGCUGAUUGUACAUUGUUUUUCUUUGUAGAGAAAUCGUUGUCAGUUACCCUUUCUCAAGCAGCCAGAGAUUCUUAAUCUUUCAAGGAGGAACGUUUUCAAGUAGCAAGAAAUACCUUUUGAGAGGACACGUUAGCUCCUUUUGCUGGGGUUUCUGCUACUACAUUGAAUGCUUCCUGGAUGGUUUUAUCUUCCCAAGUUAGCUGUGUCGGUUGAAUUUACCCAUUUUGCUUUCCGGUGGUUAAUAAUCUGUCAGGAGAAACUCCUUUUUUUUUUUGAAUGAAAGGAUAGAGGCAGCUGAGUAUGUCAUAGAGGGGAGGAGAAAUGUGGGGAAGGACACUAGAAGUGGAAUUAAGAGUGAUGACGAUGGCUUUUGGUUUCGUAAUAGGUUUGUUCGAGUGAGUUGUUGGGCUGCUGCAAAUAUUCUAGUACAACACCCAACAGAUAUGAAGAUGAAUAAUCAACCUUUGGCCUCUGUUUCCCUACUCCCUUAACCUUUUACCACUUUAGGUGUGAGAAUCACUUGCUUGUAUGUGCACAUAUCUGUCAGUGUGUGAUAUGUUUACAAACUAGAUAGGUCCAACAGUACAUGUAUUUACCUGUACAGGAAAACCACAGUAGUUGCUGACUACAUAAGCAUAAUGCUUGUUUUUGCUCAGAGAAUCUUGUGUUUGGAGUAUGUAGCAUGUUUUAGUAAACUGUUAAGGGAUAGCUUGUUUCAUUUAUUAAUUUUUUUCCCCUAAUGGUUUGGGACAGGUGUUUCAGGUAUAGGAAGGGAACAUGAUUUUUUUUUUUCACCUGACUGUUGAUGAAAGGGGACAUGCUUUUGAGGCA